UAGAGGUUUGCACCACGUCUGGCUCCUAGCACUUUCGUUGAGACAAGUAUCCUUAUGUGUGUUUUACAUAAAAUAAUUCAAUACUUUCAGUAACCUUGUAAGGAGCUCAUGGUGCUGGAGGGGGAGCCAGAGCACACAUGUGGCAGUCAGAGGACAACUGAGAAUGGCUUUCUUCUUCCACACUUAUGGGGAUGCCAGGGACCAAACUCAAGCACCAGGCUUUACUAGAGACAGAACUCCAAACUUUGUGCAAGCGAGCAACCUACUACUGCACAGCAUCUCUAGCUGUUUUCAG
Mus caroli (Ryukyu mouse) is the source of this 295-nucleotide long non-coding RNA. RefSeq lists it as uncharacterized. NCBI's taxonomy places the organism in Eukaryota, Metazoa, Chordata, Mammalia, Rodentia, Muridae. The record is from RefSeq and is a predicted model, not a curated record.